Molecule: long non-coding RNA, 1751 nt
Organism: Gopherus evgoodei (Goodes thornscrub tortoise)
Lineage: Eukaryota; Metazoa; Chordata; Testudines; Testudinidae
Exons: 3
Source: RefSeq, a predicted model, not a curated record
AUUCGGCACAAGAAAGACGUUGCUGCACGUAGCGUUUGUUAAUGGUACAGCUUCGGAGAGCUCUGUGUCCGAAUUCCAGGCCUUUUGUUUCUUUGGUGACAGACCGAGGCUAUUCCCAGGGCUAUGUUUGCAGUGAUUGCUGUGGCUGUCCUUUUGGAAAUGUGCUGAUGCUCAGCUGGUGUAGGUACUUGGCGUGGUAUUCAGAGCUUGCACGUGAGUGCACCUAACCCUACUAACAGGACUGUCUUUUGGUCAAGAUCAGGGGGGCACAAAGUUGACAUUUUCUUGGUGGGGUAGGAAGGUAAGUCGGGAAGGGUGUUGCCGAGGGAUGGAGGAUUUAAUGGUAAUGGGAGACUCAGGGGGACUCCUCCCUUACCUGUUCAUUGCCAGAUCUUUUCACACUGGGGACUUGCCCCCCUUCUUUAAAGGAGGACUAUUUUCCUAAACAAAGGGUGACCGCCCUGUACUCAGGGAUCAGGUCUCUUUCCCUUUUCUCCUCUCUGCCUUUGCCCUUUUAAUGCCAAAGUCCCUGGCUGGGCAAAGAGAUCCCCCUCUACCGAGGGAUUGCAGGUCUCUCCUUCUCCGCCCUCUUGGCAACGGCCCUCUGUGAUGCCCCUGGCUUAAGGACCACCCUGUAAGGAGGGUUUGGGUCUCCUUCGUCACGCUUACGUAGCCACAGGUCACUUUGACAUGCCAGGCAAAAGGACUGCCCUGUAACCAGGGUGUAAGGUCUUAGCCCUCUCCUUCUUCGACUAGGAGAGCCUCUUUGUGCCUGUGGCUGAGUGACCCCCCUUUAAGAAGGGACGAGGUCUCUCUGGCUUUCUACCAUUUAGAACCGAGCCUUUAAUAUGCCUUGUGCCACUGACCUCUCCCUGUAAGAAGGGUGCAGGUCUCCCCUUUCUAGCUUGUCUUAGGCCGCUGGCACUUGCUGGGCAAAGGGACCACCCUCUACUGAGGGAAUGGAGGUCCCUCCUUUUCAGCGCUCUUGGCAAGGGCCCAUUGUGAUGCGCCUGGCUUAAGGACCACCCUGUAAGCAGGGUUUGGGUCUCCUUCCCCAUCCUUAUUUAGCCACCUGUCACUUUGACACCCCAGGCAAAAGGACCGCUCUGUAACCAGGGCCUAAGGUCUUAUCCCUCUCAUUCUUAAACUAGGAGAACCCCUUUGUGCCUCUGGCUGAGUGACCCCCCUUUAAGAAGGGUUGAGGUUCUACUUCGGUUAGUCACCUUAAAUGGCACUAGAAUGAUUUCUACUUGGCUCUUCUGGGUUCUGAAGUCAAAUCUGAUUUGCGUCCCAUGGAUUUCCUCUCCGGGACACAUGGAACCAGGUGUGGCGAAGGGGCGGCUGUAAGGGGAUGGUGGAGGCCGUGAAAAAUUCAACCCUUUCCUCAAAAAAGCCUAGAAAUCACCAAAGUCCAAAGUGAGCUCCCUCUAACUAGGGUGCAGGUUUUUCUCUCACUUUCCCAAGAUUACACUCCCCUUUGAAAGCUAGUUCUAGAAAGCAGCCUCUUGAGAGAGUGAAGGGUCUGCCCUUGUAGCUGCCCUGUGCCCGUGGCCUCCUCACGCUCUCAGCCAAGUCAAAGCCCAGCGCACUCUGCAUCCAGAUGGCCCUGAGUUCGGCUGCAAGCUCUCCUGCCUUCUGCUACGGAUUGCCGCCGAAGCCGAGGAAUUGGGCAACUCAAAGGACAAAAUGAAGACGACGACAGAAGCACCAGAGAAGCUGCAGGAAAAGAGAAGUGAAGGCCAGUCAAAAAC